This 97-nucleotide small RNA is filed under the name Aotus nancymaae (Ma's night monkey). RNAcentral's name for it is "Y RNA (ENSANAG00000000707.1)". The record is from RNAcentral. Lineage: Eukaryota; Metazoa; Chordata; Mammalia; Primates; Aotidae.
GACUGGUCCAGAGGGUAGUAGGUUAUCAGAACUUAUUAACAUUAGUGUCACUAAAGUUGGUACACAAUCUGCCCGUGAUAUAUUUGACUGGUAUUUU